RNAcentral lists this ribosomal RNA (606 nucleotides) under marine metagenome. RNAcentral's name for it is "bacterial SSU rRNA". It matches the Rfam family "Archaeal small subunit ribosomal RNA", at positions 549 to 1153 of the family's 1478-position model. The record is from RNAcentral.
AUCCAUGUGCUCAACGCAUGGGCUGCCGAAAAUACUGCAUAGCUAGGGAGUGGGAGAGGUAGACGGUACUCGGUAGGAAGGGGUAAAAUCCUUUGAUCUAUCGAUGACCACCUGUGGCGAAGGCGGUCUACCAGAACACGUUCGACGGUGAGGGAUGAAAGCUGGGGGAGCAAACCGGAUUAGAUACCCGGGUAGUCCCAGCUGUAAACGAUGCAGACUCGAUGAUGCAUUGGCAUAUAGCCAGUGCAGUGUCGCAGGGAAGCCGUUAAGUCUGCCGCCUGGGAAGUACGUACGCAAGUAUGAAACUUAAAGGAAUUGGCGGGGGAGCACCACAAGGGGUGAAGCCUGCGGUUCAAUUGGAGUCAACGCCAGAAAUCUUACCCGGAGAGACAGCAGAAUGAAGGUCAAGCUGAAGACUUUACCAGACAAGCUGAGAGGUGGUGCAUGGCCGUCGCCAGCUCGUGCCGUGAGAUGUCCUGUUAAGUCAGGUAACGAGCGAGAUCCUCGCCACUAGUUGCUAUCAUUAUUCUCAGGAAUAGUGGGGCGAAUUAGUGGGACUGCCGUUGUUAAAACGGAGGAAGGAGGGGGCUACGGCAGGUCAGUAUG